Molecule: long non-coding RNA, 309 nt
Organism: Tripterygium wilfordii
Lineage: Eukaryota; Viridiplantae; Streptophyta; Magnoliopsida; Celastrales; Celastraceae
Exons: 3
Source: RefSeq, a predicted model, not a curated record
AAAUUACAAAAUCAGUCCCAAAUAAUAAACACACGCUUGCUUUGUCUCUCCUCUCCUGCGUCGACGUCUCUCUCUCACUGCUCCUCUCCCUUUUCUCCCUUAAUCUUAUUCCGCCUCAUCAAGUGAAAUCGCAGCUAGCUCUUUGAUCAUCGCCAGUAAGGUCUAUUGAUGAAAAGGUUCAUUAGUUUGAUUAAGCAUGCUAAAGAUGGUGUUCUUGAGAAGGAUCCAUUGAUGAAAACUUAAAAGAUUGAACAUGGGAAUUGAUGCUUCAGGUACUGGGAGUUGGAUGGUGAUAGCUCAAUACUACAG